This 262-nucleotide ribosomal RNA is filed under the name uncultured bacterium. RNAcentral's name for it is "partial 16S ribosomal RNA". It matches the Rfam family "Bacterial small subunit ribosomal RNA", at positions 793 to 1055 of the family's 1533-position model. The record is from RNAcentral.
GUCCACGCCGUAAACGAUGGAUGCUAGCCGUUGGUAAGCAUGCUUAUCAGUGGCGCAGCUAACGCAUUAAGCAUCCCGCCUGGGGAGUACGGCCGCAAGGUUGAAACUCAAAGGAAUUGACGGGGGCCCGCACAAGCGGUGGAGCAUGUGGUUUAAUUCGACGCAACGCGCAGAACCUUACCAGGCCUUGACAUCCCGUGCUAAGCCCAGAAAUGGGUGGUCCCCGCAAGGGGCGCGGAGACAGGUGCUGCAUGGCUGUCGU